This 518-nucleotide ribosomal RNA is filed under the name uncultured bacterium. Its description in RNAcentral is "bacterial SSU rRNA". It matches the Rfam family "Bacterial small subunit ribosomal RNA", at positions 8 to 518 of the family's 1533-position model. The record is from RNAcentral.
AGAGUUUGAUCCUGGCUCAGGAUGAACGCUAGCGGCAGGCUUAACACAUGCAAGUCGAGGGGCAGCGGGAUGUAGCAAUACAUUGCCGGCGACCGGCGGAUGGGUGCGUAACGCGUAUGCAACCUACCUUAUACAGGGGAAUAACCUUUCGAAAGGGAGACUAACACCCCAUGGUAUUGAUUUAAGGCAUCUUAGAUUAAUUAAAUAUUUAUAGGUAUAAGAUGGGCAUGCGUAUGAUUAGCUAGUUGGUAAGGUAACGGCUUACCAAGGCGACGAUCAUUAGGGGUUCUGAGAGGAAGGUCCCCCACACUGGUACUGAGACACGGACCAGGCUCCUACGGGAGGCAGCAGUGAGGAAUAUUGGUCAAUGGGCGCAAGCCUGAACCAGCCAUGCCGCGUGCCAGGAAGACGGCCUUAUGGGUUGUAAACUGCUUUUACAUAAGACUAACCGUAUAUUUGCGAAUAUACCUGAAUGUAUUAUGAGAAUAAGGAUCGGCUAACUCCGUGCCAGCCGCCGC